AGGACGAACGCUGGCGGCGUGCUUAACACAUGCAAGUCAAGGGGGAGUCGCAAGACUCAACCGGCGAACGGGUGCGUAACACGUGAGCGACCUACCUAAUUGUGGGGGAUAGCCGGCCCAACGGCCGGGUAAUACCGCAUACGACCGGAGAGGGGCAUCCCUUUCCGAGGAAAGCCUUCGGGCGCAAUUCGAGGGGCUCGCGGCCUAUCAGCUAGUUGGCGGGGUAACGCCCACAAGGCAACGCGGGUAG
RNAcentral lists this ribosomal RNA (250 nucleotides) under uncultured soil bacterium. Its description in RNAcentral is "partial 16S ribosomal RNA". It matches the Rfam family "Bacterial small subunit ribosomal RNA", at positions 26 to 286 of the family's 1533-position model. The record is from RNAcentral.